GUCCACCGAACGGUCGGCAGGCGAUCCGCGUCGGUCAAGCGAGGUGGUAUGGUUCCCCAGAGGCCGGUUCUUGUGCUGCCUACCCCUUCAGGGGAAGCGGGCCACUUGAUGUAAAGCCUCCAUCCGGCGCCCUCCAACGGGCGCAGGAGGACAACGGAGCACCCCCCGCGUUCCACCGAGCCUCAGCCGGUCGCGUGGCGCGCGGGGACGUGCGAUGCUCUCGGACCCAGCGAACGCCGUGGGCGAGGACUCACGUCCCAGUCCCUAUAGAAGCUCCGAUGUAAUGCAUGACGGCCGCUCCCGACCCCCGACCGCCCCGGCGGCGCGGGGGCGAGGCGCGGCGUCUCGGAGGAAUGC
RNAcentral lists this unclassified non-coding RNA (357 nucleotides) under Acacia citrinoviridis (river jam). RNAcentral describes it as "partial external transcribed spacer". The record is from RNAcentral. Lineage: Eukaryota; Viridiplantae; Streptophyta; Magnoliopsida; Fabales; Fabaceae.